CUAAUUGUUUUUAAUUUUUUUAUAAAUUUUUUAAAUAAGACGUACGGUUAAACGUUAGACACGGAUAUCCACGGUUGUACUUAUUUUGGGACGGACGUAGUAUUUCUCUUUCCUGGCGCCUGGCACGCACGGCCCAUAGGCCCCACACGCGAGUUGCGCGUGUAUCGAAUUGAUCGACGCGACUCUCUCCUCCCCCUAGCCCGUAGCCCUAGCGACGACGCGAUCGGGAUCGGCGAUCUCUGAGACUCUGAUCUCAUCUGAUUUUCUCACGCCACGGCCACGCCACGCGAUUACAGUUCACACUUCACAGAGCCACGCCGCCGCCGGCGCUCGCGCGAGCGGGCGCCCCCACGCCCACGCCGCCGCGCGCGAGUCCGCAUUCCGCCGCUGGAUCAAAUCAAGCAUCUCCUGCGUACAGUAGCUGCCAGCCAUGAUCACUUGUGGCAGCAAUACUUUGAGGGCAUCUCGAUCGUUUUCAGGACGUCUCUGGCUUGACAGCUGAGUUGAGAUUAUUCAGGUUCUGAAUUUGCCAAAUGCCGACCAAACGAACUCAACAUGACGUGAUUUUGUUGGAUGAAGAGAACAUAAUGAAGACUUUCAUGGUCAUUAGAAGACAUAGACCCGAUAAGAAAAAAAAAAUAAUAUGGUAAUUUUCUUUAGACUUUCAUAGCCAUACAAGCUUCUGUAAAUCAAAAUUUUACUUAAUUACUAGUUUUAUCUAUGCUUGCAUUGUACAUAUGUGUUUAGGAAAAAAAAUUUAGGUCAGACCACCCAUAUCCUAAAUCCGCCACUGGUAUAACAACCCAUUUGCCCAAUGCUUUAAUGACACGUGGCAUAAAGUUAAAUGGUAAAAAUGGACCAAUCAGAGAUAAUUAGAUUUGCGAGAAAUUGGUGCUGUUCCAUAGCACUCGCGAGAGAUGUGGGGUUGGGUGCAUGUGCCUGCAUUCGUUACUGUUGCCGCUGGUGAAGUUGGUGAUGGCAAGGCUCUUCUGUCACGUGCCACUCAGGUAUCUACAUGGCUUUAGAAGAUUGGACUGCACUGAGACCUAGAACCUUCCGCAGGGUAUUUCAUGAAGUAUCAGAUACAAAUCACACCUAAAACGGAUUAGUGAUAUGCCCGUGCUAAACACUACGGUGUAAUUUUAAUUUUCUUUAAAGAAUUUUAAAAUAGCAUGUUACCAAAAACAAUUUCUUGUAUGAUCUAUGCAGUUGAGUCUUAAUCUAAUUUAUGUCGUCUGUCAAAUAUAUUCAUGGCAAGAAUAAUAUACUGUGUGGGUUUAAUAGAACGGAUUUUCGCCAAUAUCUAUUUAAAAGAUGCAUUUUCAACCCUCUAAUUUAAAUAUUUACCAAACAAAAAUCAAAAGGUUGAAAGUUUUAAAAAUUGAAAUGAAAAUUUAAAAUUUUCAAGUACAAUUUUUCAUAAUUGGAGUAAACAAUUUAAACUUAAAAAGUGGAUUAAAAAUUUUUAUGUGCAUGAAGAUGAGCGGCGAGUGGUGACGAGAUAGAUAAGGCACACGUUGGCCGCUAUCCUUUGAGCACAUAGCACAAGGGCAUGAAUGUAAACCCAAAUAACAGUUUGGUAUGAAACAUAUGUCAACGUAAUAAUAGCAUGUUCGUGCUAAUGCUACUGCGGCAUUUGGAGCAACGACUACUAUAACCACAAAUUCACAAAUAAACAACCAUUUAUAACACAAGAAGUUCAUUUAAAAAAUCAUAUCGAUGGUGUUCAAAUCCAUACAAAGAUUAUUACAAUUUUGGUCAUUUACUCAUUGCUACAUUUCAUCAAAGCUACUUGGAAAAAAAUAUCAUCUUCCAGGAAUCAAGACAGGGAUGAACGAUUUCAUAUCACUGGAACUUUAACCCAUGUCUCACCCUUUUGCUAAUACUUCAUUUCACUCUUCACAACAUAGCACAACUACUGCACUUUAGCUAAAAAGAACUUCUCAGCCAUUUCACAAGUUCACAUGAACAGAACACCAUGUUAUAACGAAGCAGCCAUUUAA
Molecule: non-coding RNA, 2003 nt
Organism: Oryza sativa Japonica Group (Japanese rice)
Lineage: Eukaryota; Viridiplantae; Streptophyta; Magnoliopsida; Poales; Poaceae
Source: RefSeq, a predicted model, not a curated record